CUAGGGAUGGAAAUAAGCCUGGGCCUGUUAGGAAAAGCUAAGGCUUGAGCCUGGGCCUGGGCCUGUAUGUAGGUUUUUUUUUAGGCUCAAGCCUGAGCCUGCAGUUGGCCUAGCCUGGCCUGAAGCCUUUUUAAAAGCCUAUUUACUAAAUAGGCUUUUAAAAAGGCUCCAAAGUAGGUUCUAAAUAGGCUUUGGGCCUAUUUAAA
Molecule: long non-coding RNA, 206 nt
Organism: Ipomoea nil (Japanese morning glory)
Lineage: Eukaryota; Viridiplantae; Streptophyta; Magnoliopsida; Solanales; Convolvulaceae
Exons: 3
Source: RefSeq, a predicted model, not a curated record